GAUCAUGGCUCAGGAUGAACGCUAGCGGCAGGCUUAACACAUGCAAGUCGAGGGGCAGCAUAAACAUUGCUUGCAAUGUUUGAUGGCGACCGGCGCACGGGUGCGUAACGCGUAUGUAACCUACCUCAAACAGGGGCAUAACACUGAGAAAUUGGUACUAAUUCCCCAUAACACUUUGGGAGGCAUCUCCUUUGUUUGAAACGUAAGGAUUAUGGGUGAGCACGCUUCUGAUUAGGUAGUUGGUGAGGUAACGGCUCACCAAGCCGACGAUCAGUAGGGGUUCUGAGAGGAAGGUCCCCCACAUUGGAACUGAGACACGGUCCAAACUCCUACGGGAGGCAGCAGUGAGGAAUAUUGGUCAAUGGACGAAAGUCUGAACCAGCCAAGUCGCGUGAAGGAUGAAGGUUCUAUGGAUUGUAAACUUCUUUUGUCUGAGGGUAAAAAAGCGGACGUGUCCGUUCUUGCAAGUAUCAGACGAAUAAGCAUCGGCUAACUCCGUG
This 500-nucleotide ribosomal RNA is filed under the name uncultured bacterium. RNAcentral describes it as "bacterial SSU rRNA". It matches the Rfam family "Bacterial small subunit ribosomal RNA", at positions 15 to 507 of the family's 1533-position model. The record is from RNAcentral.